AAAUUGAAGAGUUUGAUCAUGGCUCAGAUUGAACGCUGGCGGCAGGCCUAACACAUGCAAGUCGAACGGUAACAGGAAACAGCUUGCUGUUUCGCUGACGAGUGGCGGACGGGUGAGUA
RNAcentral lists this ribosomal RNA (119 nucleotides) under Escherichia coli. Its description in RNAcentral is "partial 16S ribosomal RNA". It matches the Rfam family "Bacterial small subunit ribosomal RNA", at positions 1 to 112 of the family's 1533-position model. The record is from RNAcentral. Lineage: Bacteria; Pseudomonadati; Pseudomonadota; Gammaproteobacteria; Enterobacterales; Enterobacteriaceae.